RNAcentral lists this transfer RNA (91 nucleotides) under Dreissena polymorpha. RNAcentral describes it as "tRNA-Phe". The record is from RNAcentral. Lineage: Eukaryota; Metazoa; Mollusca; Bivalvia; Myida; Dreissenidae.
GCCGUAAUAGCUCAGUUGGGAGAGAGUAAGACUGAAGUUGUUUACGCAACAGUCAUCUAAAGGCCCCCUGGUUCAAUCCCGGGUUCCGGCU